GAUAUCUGUUAUCUAAUAUAAUGUUAUCUGAGCACGAGGGAGCUGAGCAGGGAGAGCUUAAACGCGCUCCCUUACAGCCUGUCCGCCCCCCCUGCCUGCACAGCAGCCCCACUAGACCUCAGGUAAGAUACCAACCCAGUCUGUGUGUAUGGCUGUGUGUGUGUAUGGCUGUGUGUGUGUGUGUGUGUAUGGCUGUGUAUGUGUAUGGCUGUCUUUAUGUAUAGAUGUAUGGCUGUGUAUGUGCAUGGCUCUCUUUAUGUAUGGCUG
This is a non-coding RNA of Pelobates cultripes (western spadefoot toad), 267 nucleotides long. The record is from the annotation of a GenBank genome assembly. NCBI's taxonomy places the organism in Eukaryota, Metazoa, Chordata, Amphibia, Anura, Pelobatidae.